This 439-nucleotide ribosomal RNA is filed under the name uncultured bacterium. Its description in RNAcentral is "partial 16S ribosomal RNA". It matches the Rfam family "Bacterial small subunit ribosomal RNA", at positions 339 to 795 of the family's 1533-position model. The record is from RNAcentral.
CUACGGGAUGCUCCAGUGAGGAAUAUUGCACAAUGGGGGGAACCCUGAUGCAGCAACGCCGCGUGGAGGAUGACGCAUUUCGGUGUGUAAACUCCUUUUAUAUGUCAAGAAAAUGACGGUAGCAUAUGAAUAAGCACCGGCUAACUCCGUGCCAGCAGCCGCGGUAAUACGGAGGGUGCAAGCGUUACUCGGAAUCACUGGGCGUAAAGGACGCGUAGGCGGGUUGGAAAGCCAGGUGUGAAAUCCUACAGCCUAACUGUAGAACUGCACUUGAAACUUCUAAUCUAGAGUAUGGGAGGGGGAGAUGGAAUUAGUGGUGUAGGGGUAAAAUCCGUAGAUAUCACUAGGAAUACCUAAAGCGAAGGCGAUCUCCUGGAACAUUACUGACGCUAAGGCGUGAAAGCGUGGGGAGCAAACGGGAUUAGAUACCCCCGUAGUC